RNAcentral lists this ribosomal RNA (253 nucleotides) under uncultured bacterium. Its description in RNAcentral is "partial 16S ribosomal RNA". It matches the Rfam family "Bacterial small subunit ribosomal RNA", at positions 524 to 776 of the family's 1533-position model. The record is from RNAcentral.
UACAGAGGUCUCAAGCGUUGUUCGGAUUCAUUGGGCGUAAAGGGUGCGUAGGUGGCGAGGCAAGUCAGAUGUGAAAUCCCGGGGCUCAACCCCGGAACUGCAUUUGAAACUGCCUUGCUCGAGUACUGGAGAGGAGACUGGAAUUUACGGUGUAGCAGUGAAAUGCGUAGAUAUCGUAAGGAAGACCAGUGGCGAAGGCGGGUCUCUGGACAGUUCCUGACGCUGAGGCACGAAGGCCAGGGGAGCAAACGGG